UUGCGGUUACAUCAUAAAAAUUCCUCGGGUCCUGGAAGCAGCCCGGGAAUAUUUGCAUAUGUAUAUCCUUCGUUUUCACAGCACAGCCUGGCUGCCAGAUGGGAAAACCGACGGAGCCUCCAACGUUUAUCCGCGACUCCGACGCUUUUCCUGCGCCGGGAACCGCGGCGGAAGCGAGGAUUUUUCCAGGAUUGUGGAGCCAUCCAGGAUCUGUAAAUCCAGGAGCACCAGGAUUUCUGCUGGAAGUCAUUCCCAGCUGGAAUUUUGGAAGCAGGAAAGGCCCAGCAGAGGAGCACAUGCAUCACUUCUGGGAGCUUUUGGAGACUUUGGAAAUCCUUUUAGUGCUGAGGGGGGUAAGAAAAAGGCCCUGGCAUGGGACAAGCACCUUUCAAACCCUGAUGGAAAACAGAGCAAAUCCCACUCCCUGCGUGGUUUUACUCUUCAGAUCCAGAUCUUUGGUUUUCUGGGUGGGCAAAUGGAAAAGUGGGAUAGGCUAAAAACCAGGAGCAAUGGCAAACUGUGCUGGGAGAUGGAAAAGAGCAGCUCAGGGAAAAUGGGAUGGAUUUUCCCUGCAGCCCAAGGAAUGUUGCAGCCCUUUUCUAAUGUCUUUUUUGAAGUGGAUUUUAUAUUUGAAUCCCAAACUUCCUGAGGCUGGAAAAGAUUUCCAGGAUUGUUGAGUCCAACCUGUGAUGGAUCAACAUUGUUUCACCCAGCCCAGAGCCCUGAGUGCCAGAUCCAGGAAUUCCUUGGA
This is a long non-coding RNA of Melospiza melodia melodia, 751 nucleotides long. RefSeq lists it as uncharacterized. NCBI's taxonomy places the organism in Eukaryota, Metazoa, Chordata, Aves, Passeriformes, Passerellidae. The record is from RefSeq and is a predicted model, not a curated record. The transcript is spliced from 3 exons.